GAGCAACACUUUGUCUUAUGGAAGAGGUUAUACCAGGAUAACAAGAUCUGUCAUAUUCAUAUUACCAUACUGCAUUUUAGAUAGUCACUGCCUAAGGCUCAUUAGUAAUUAUAAUAGCGAUGAUCACAAUUAGCCUUUAUUAAGUCUUUAUUACACUCCAUAUCACUAAUGUCCAAAAUAGUGGCUGGUAUACUGCAAGUACUUAAUAAAUGCUGGUUAAACAAGGAACAGGACUUGAGCUAGAAGAAAAGAUGGAGAGAGACUGAGAAUUGUUUCAGACAUGGGACACAGCAUGAACAAAAUCUGGGAUGUGGGGUGAACAAGCAGUCUGGAUGGAAGCGAAGAGGCUUCAUGCAGGAAAUGAGUGAAGUCACCUCGCAGAAGCCCCGAAUGCCUGGGCCUGUGAACUCGGAGCUGUUCCUGCGCCAUGUUCCUGGAUGGCUGCGCCCACUUUUGCGCCCAUUGGC
This 467-nucleotide long non-coding RNA is filed under the name Homo sapiens (human). Its description in RNAcentral is "non-protein coding lnc-FLOT2-2:1". The record is from RNAcentral. Lineage: Eukaryota; Metazoa; Chordata; Mammalia; Primates; Hominidae.